GUGCUCAAUUCAAUAGCAUAUAUAUUAAAAUUGGGACAAUACAAAGAUUAGCAUGGCCCCUGUGCAAAAAAACGAAACCAAACCAAAACAAAAACCCAUGUCUUCU
Zalophus californianus (California sea lion) is the source of this 106-nucleotide small nuclear RNA. Lineage: Eukaryota; Metazoa; Chordata; Mammalia; Carnivora; Otariidae. The record is from Ensembl.